RNAcentral lists this ribosomal RNA (253 nucleotides) under uncultured bacterium. RNAcentral describes it as "partial 16S ribosomal RNA". It matches the Rfam family "Bacterial small subunit ribosomal RNA", at positions 524 to 776 of the family's 1533-position model. The record is from RNAcentral.
UACGUAGGGUGCGAGCGUUGUCCGGAAUUAUUGGGCGUAAAGAGCUCGUAGGCGGUUUGUCGCGUCUGCUGUGAAAACGCGAGGCUCAACCUCGCGCCUGCAGUGGGUACGGGCAGACUAGAGGUAUGCAGGGGAGAACGGAAUUCCUGGUGUAGCGGUGAAAUGCGCAGAUAUCAGGAGGAACACCGGUGGCGAAGGCGGUUCUCUGGGCAUUACCUGACGCUGAGGAGCGAAAGUGUGGGGAGCGAACAGG